This 248-nucleotide ribosomal RNA is filed under the name uncultured bacterium. RNAcentral's name for it is "partial 16S ribosomal RNA". It matches the Rfam family "Bacterial small subunit ribosomal RNA", at positions 57 to 305 of the family's 1533-position model. The record is from RNAcentral.
GCAAGUCGGACGAGAUUCAAGACUUCGGUUUUGAUGAAAGUGGCGCACGGGUGCGUAACGCGUAUGCAACCUACCCUUUACUGGAGGAUAGCCCGGAGAAAUUCGGAUUAAUACUCCAUAGUAUUACAGAUUGCAUCAUGAAGUAAUUAAAGAUUUAUUGGUAAAGGAUGGGCAUGCGUGACAUUAGUUAGUUGGUAAGGUAACGGCUUACCAAGACUAUGAUGUCUAGGGGUUCUGAGAGGAUGAUC